Molecule: long non-coding RNA, 869 nt
Organism: Nothoprocta perdicaria
Lineage: Eukaryota; Metazoa; Chordata; Aves; Tinamiformes; Tinamidae
Exons: 4
Source: RefSeq, a predicted model, not a curated record
CCCAAGAAGGAUCAGGUCACUUGACAUAAAAGGACUCAGAUGCCAGACGUUCUGCCCAGAUCUAACCUUGGAGGCAACCUGCUGGAUGUCUUUAGCUGUUCAAAGCUAAGAUAAAGCUGAGCAGCCCCAGGAAGAGAAAUGGUAUUUUGCAGCCAGCUCUAUUCAGGAUGAUUGUGCAGAGCUCUGCUAAUGGGCUCUGCCAAGCUGUGGUCACCCCAUGGAGCUAUUGGCAGGAGAGGUGGCAAGUUGGAGAGGACUACAAGGGAACUCGGCAUGAUAUUUUUUGAUGAGCUGAUUAUUCAGAAAUCGCACAAGAGCUGAAAUACAUCAUUCCAUUCGGAAACUCAGCACCGCCAGCACUCAGGACAGCCUACACGAGCGGCUUCUCCUUCACAGAGCCGCUGGAUCGUGCGCCGGGAAGCAGAUGCAGCCAUCGGACCAGGAGUUUUGACAGCCCUCGGCUGAGACCCUGACCCUGCGGUGACAGACUGUAUAAUGGCAAAGGCGUUCUGCCCUAGUGAUUUGGGACCAUCAUCCAGAGAAUGUCCUUGUGUUCCAGACACUGAGACACAAGUGAACAGAGAAUUUCUUCCCAUGUCUGAUCUAAUUUUCACUACCUUUUGGUGGUCCAUCCUGGCAAAAGGCCAUCAACAUGUGCCACAGAAGACCUGGAGGGUGCUCCCAAAGUAGAGGAACGUCAAUGUUGAGAGCCUGACACCUGAGCUGACUGCAGCCAUGAAAGGUUAUAACCAGAUUAAGGUGGAAAUGCUCUGAAGGCAGAAGGCAUCAUCUCAGGCAGAAAACAGAAGGCUUUCAAGCUGGAUCUUGCAGUCAAAGACUGCCACAUGUUACAAUGAACGGCUUUUGAG